GACGAACGCUGGCGGCGUGCCUAAUACAUGCAAGUUGAGCGAUGAAGAUUGGUGCUUGCACCAAUUUGAAGAGCAGCGAACGGGUGAGUAACGCGUGGGGAAUCUGCCUUUGAGCGGGGGACAACAUUUGGAAACGAAUGCUAAUACCGCAUAACAACUUUCAACAUAAGUUUUAAGUUUGAAAGAUGCAAUUGCAUCACUCAAAGAUGAUCCCGCGUUGUAUUAGCUAGUUGGUGAGGUAAAGGCUCACCAAGGCGAUGAUACAUAGCCGACCUGAGAGGGUGAUCGGCCACAUUGGGACUGAGACACGGCCCAAACUCCUACGGGAGGCAGCAGUAGGGAAUCUUCGGCAAUGGACGAAAGUCUGGCCGAGCAACGCCGCGUGAGUGAAGAAGGUUUUCGGAUCGUAAAACUCUGUUGGUAGAGAAGAACGUUGGUGAGAGUGGAAAGCUCAUCAAGUGACGGUAACUACCCAGAAAGGGACGGCUAACUACGUG
This 497-nucleotide ribosomal RNA is filed under the name uncultured bacterium. RNAcentral's name for it is "partial 16S ribosomal RNA". It matches the Rfam family "Bacterial small subunit ribosomal RNA", at positions 28 to 507 of the family's 1533-position model. The record is from RNAcentral.